RNAcentral lists this non-coding RNA (23 nucleotides) under Cricetulus griseus (Chinese hamster). The record is from RNAcentral. Lineage: Eukaryota; Metazoa; Chordata; Mammalia; Rodentia; Cricetidae.
GAAGGAAAAAGAGGGUUGGAUUU